RNAcentral lists this ribosomal RNA (1149 nucleotides) under human gut metagenome. RNAcentral's name for it is "bacterial LSU rRNA". It matches the Rfam family "Bacterial large subunit ribosomal RNA", at positions 808 to 1983 of the family's 2925-position model. The record is from RNAcentral.
GGUGUGGAUAGGGGAGAAAUUCCAAUCGAACCCGGAGAUAGCUGGUUCUCCUCGAAAUAGCUUUAGGGCUAGCCUCGUAUUAGUUUAGCGGAGGUAGAGCACUGAAUUUCCUAGGGGGCGUCAAAGUCUACCGAAGAAUAUCAAACUCCGAAUGCCGCAUAAAUGAUGUACGGGAGUCAGACUGCACGAGAUAAGUUGGGUAGUCAAAAGGGAAAGAGCCCAGACCUACAGCUAAGGUCCCAAAGUGUGUGUUAAGUGGAAAAGGAUGUGGGAUUUCGAAGACAACUAGGAUGUUGGCUCAGAAGCAGCCAUUCAUUCAAAGAGUGCGUAAUAGCUCACUAGUCGAGAGGUCCUGCGCCGAAAAUGUCCGGGGCUAAACACUACACCGAAGCUGAGGAAUGACAAUGUCAUUGGUAGAGGAGCAUUCUUAACUGCGACGAAGCUGUACCGAAAGGAGCAGUGGAGUGUUAAGAAGAGAGAAUGCCGGAAUGAGUAGCGAGAGUGAGGUGAGAAUCCUCACGGCCGAAUAUCUAAGGUUUCCAGGGUAAAGCUGAUCUGCCCUGGGUAAGUCGGGACCUAAGGCGAGGUCGAAAGACGUAGUCGAUGGACAACAGGUUGAAAUUCCUGUACUGCAAUGUAUCAGAAAUGUGGGGACACAGACAGAGAGCCGGAGCCGGGAAUGGAGAAACCGGUGCAAGCGAGGUAGGAGAACAGCAGGCAAAUCCGCUGUUCAAUUUGAAGACGUGACGCGGAGCGAAAUUAAAGUAGCGAAGCCGGUGAGCUGGCUGUCAGGAAAAGCCGCUAUUGUGUACAUUGUACCCGUACCGUAAACCGACACAGGUGGAUGAGGAGAGAAUCCUAAGGCCGACGGAAGAAGCAUUGUUAAGGAACUCGGCAAAAUGACCCCGUAACUUCGGGAUAAGGGGUGCCUACGAAGGUAGGCCGCAGAGAAUUGGCCCAAGCAACUGUUUAGCAAAAACACAGGUCUAUGCGAAACCGUAAGGUGAUGUAUAUGGGCUGACGCCUGCCCGGUGCUGGAAGGUUAAGAGGAGAGGUUAGAGCAAUCGAAGCUUUGAAUUGAAGCCCCAGUAAACGGCGGCCGUAACUAUAACGGUCCUAAGGUAGCGAAAUUCCUUGUCGGGUAAGUUC